RNAcentral lists this unclassified non-coding RNA (216 nucleotides) under plant metagenome. Its description in RNAcentral is "partial contains small subunit ribosomal RNA and internal transcribed spacer 1". The stretch from base 1 to 46 matches the Rfam family "Eukaryotic small subunit ribosomal RNA", at positions 1786 to 1831 of the family's 1831-position model. The record is from RNAcentral.
AUGUCGUAACAAGGUUUCCGUAGGUGAACCUGCGGAAGGAUCAUUAGAAAGUUCCGGGCCGCUUCGGCGGCCCUACCUUCAAACCACUGUGAAGCCACCCGUUGCUUCGGCGGCGUGCCCGGCCCUCACCGGCCGGCCGUCAGUCCGCCCGAGGCUCCAAACCAAAAACCUUUUCUGUAACCGUAGUCUGGUAACUAAAGAUUUAAUUCGUUAAAA